CUACGGGGGGCUGCAGUGAGGAAUAUUGCACAAUGGGGGGAACCCUGAUGCAGCAACGCCGCGUGGAGGAUGACGCAUUUCGGUGUGUAGACUCCUUUUAUAUGUCAAGAAAAUGACGGUAGCAUAUGAAUAAGCACCGGCUAACUACGUGCCAGCAGCCGCGGUAAUACGGAGGGUGCAAGCGUUACUCGGAAUCACUGGGCGUAAAGGACGCGUAGGCGGGUUGGAAAGUCAGGUGUGAAAUCCUACAGCUUAACUGUAGAACUGCACUUGAAACUUCUAAUCUAGAGUAUGGGAGGGGGAGAUGGAAUUAGUGGUGUAGGGGUAACAUCCGUAGAUAUCACUAGGAAUACCUAAAGCGAAGGCGAUCUCCUGGAACAUUACUGACGCUAAGGCGUGAAAGCGUGGGGAGCAAACAGGAUUAGAUACCCCCGUAGUC
Molecule: ribosomal RNA, 439 nt
Filed under: uncultured bacterium
Lineage: Bacteria
Description: partial 16S ribosomal RNA
Rfam family: Bacterial small subunit ribosomal RNA
Source: RNAcentral